Molecule: ribosomal RNA, 851 nt
Filed under: uncultured bacterium
Lineage: Bacteria
Description: bacterial SSU rRNA
Rfam family: Bacterial small subunit ribosomal RNA
Source: RNAcentral
UCAGGACGAACGCGGGCGGCGUGCUUAACACAUGCAAGUCGAACGGUAAGGCUCUUCGGAGUACACGAGUGGCGAACGGGUGAGUAACACGUGAGCAACCUGCCCUUGACACUGGGAUAACAGUUGGAAACAGCUGCUAAUACCGGAUACGACCUUGAUCGGCAUCGAUCGGGGUGGAAAGUUCCGGCGGUCAAGGAUGGGCUCGCGGCCUAUCAGCUUGUUGGUGAGGUAACGGCUCACCAAGGCUUCGACGGGUAGCCGGCCUGAGAGGGCGACCGGCCACACUGGGACUGAGAUACGGCCCAGACUCCUACGGGAGGCAGCAGUGGGAAUAUUGCGCAAUGGGCGAAAGCCUGACGCAGCAACGCCGCGUGCGGGAUGACGGCCUUCGGGUUGCAAACCGCUUUCAGCAGGGACGAAGCAACUCGUGACGGUACCUGCAGAAGAAGCACCGGCCAACUACGUGCCAGCAGCCGCGGUGAUACGUAGGGUGCGAGCGUUGUCCGGAAUUAUUGGGCGUAAAGAGCUUGUAGGCGGUCUGUCGCGUCGAAAGUGAAAACUCAGGGCUCAACCCUGAGCCUGCUCUCGAUACGGGCAGACUAGAGGAAUGUAGGGGAGAACGGAAUUCUUGGUGGAGCGGUGGAAUGCGCAGAUAUCAGGAGGAACACCGGUGGCGAAGGCGGUUCUCUGGACAUUUCCUGACGCUGAGAAGCGAAAGCGUGGGUAGCAAACAGGCUUAGAUACCCUGGUAGUCCACGCCGUAAACGGUGGGUACUAGGUGUGGGGGACAUUCCACGUUCUCCGUGCCGUAGCUAACGCAUUAAGUACCCCGCCUGGGGAGUACGGCCGCA